Molecule: ribosomal RNA, 440 nt
Filed under: uncultured bacterium
Lineage: Bacteria
Description: partial 16S ribosomal RNA
Rfam family: Bacterial small subunit ribosomal RNA
Source: RNAcentral
CCUACGGGAGGCAGCAGUGGUGAAUAUUGCACAAUGGGGGAAACCCUGAUGCAGCGACGCCGCGUGAGUGAGGAAUUAUUUCUGUAUGUAAAGCUUUAUCAGCAGGGAAGAAACUGACGGUACCUGUCUAAGAAGUCACGGCUAAAUACGUGCCAGCAGCCGCGGUAAUCCGUAGGGCGCAAGCGUUAUCCGGAUUUACUGGGUGGAAAGGGAGCGUAGACGGUUAAUCAAGUCAGAAGUGAAAACCCAGGGCUCAACCUUUGGACUGCUUUUGAAAAUGGGGAGCUAGAGUGCAGGAGAGGUAAGCGGAAUUCCUAGUGUAGCGGUGAAAUGCGUAGAUAUCAGGAGGAACACCAGUGGCGAAGGCAGCUUACUGGACUGUAACUGACGUUGAGGCACGAAAGCGUGGGGAGCGAACAGGAUUAGAUACCCCUGUAGUC